GUGCAGCAGUCGAGAAACCUUCGCAAUGCGCGAAAGCGCGACGAGGGGACUCCGAGUGCCUAUGCUCAGCAUAGGCUGUUCACCGGUGUAAAAAGCCGGUGGAGGAAGGGGUGGACAAGACUGGUGCCAGCCGCCGCGGUAAUACCAGCGCCCCAAGUGGUGAUCGAUAUUAUUGGGUCUAAAACGUCCGUAGCCGGCCCGGUAAAAUCUCCGGGUAAAUCGUCCAGCUUAACUGGUCGAAUUCUGGGGAGACUGCCGGGCUUGGGACCGGGAGAGGUCGGAGGUACUCCAGGGGUAGGGGUGAAAUCCUGUAAUCCCCUGGGGGACCACCGGUGGCGAAGGCGUCCGACUAGAACGGGUCCGACGGUAAGGGACGAAGGCUAGGGGAGCAAAACGGGGAUUAGAUACCCCUGUAGU
This 417-nucleotide ribosomal RNA is filed under the name uncultured microorganism. RNAcentral describes it as "bacterial SSU rRNA". It matches the Rfam family "Archaeal small subunit ribosomal RNA", at positions 330 to 745 of the family's 1478-position model. The record is from RNAcentral.